AUUGAACGCUGGCGGCAGGCUUAACACAUGCAAGUCGAGCGGGGGAAGGUAGCUUGCUACCGGACCUAGCGGCGGACGGGUGAGUAAUGCUUAGGAAUCUGCCUAUUAGUGGGGGACAACAUCUCGAAAGGGAUGCUAAUACCGCAUACGUCCUACGGGAGAAAGCAGGGGAUCUUCGGACCUUGCGCUAAUAGAUGAGCCUAAGUCGGAUUAGCUAGCUGGUGGGGUAAAGGCCUACCAAGGCGACGAUCUGUAGCGGGUCUGAGAGGAUGAUGCUCGACACUGGGACUGAGAAACGGCCCAGACUCCAACGGGAGGCAGCAGUGGGGAAUAUUGGACAAUGGGGUGCACCCUGAUCCAGCCAUGCCGAGUGUGUGAAGAAGGGCUUAUGGUUGUAAAGCACUUUAAGCGAGGAGGAGGCUACUCUAGGUAAUACCUAGGGAUAGUGGACGUUACUCGCAGAAUAAGCACCGGCUAACUCUGUGCCAGCCGCCGCCGUAA
RNAcentral lists this ribosomal RNA (501 nucleotides) under uncultured bacterium. RNAcentral describes it as "partial 16S ribosomal RNA". It matches the Rfam family "Bacterial small subunit ribosomal RNA", at positions 30 to 523 of the family's 1533-position model. The record is from RNAcentral.